ACCAAUACUAAUUGAUUUCAUUCUUUACCGUUAGACGUUUGAGACAAUUUCUAAGAUAAAUUAUGCAUUAUAGAUGUCUUUUUUUGAUGGUUAUAUUCAGUUGUACGACGUUUAGUCAUGGACGUAAUUCACCUGCCGUUGCAACUGGUUCAAGAAGAUCCGAAAAAUUUAAAAGUGUGAGCAAUAGUAUAUCACAACCGCGCAGCCAGGGAAGUGAUGACAAUGGCGACAAUGCACCAAUUAAAUUUGAUCCGCUUGACCAUGUAUAUUUCCAUAAAACAAUCACUAAGGUUGUAAAACCAGAGAAACAGAAACGUCCAAAUAAAAGUACCCAAAAAAAGCCAGCACUAUCUUCUAAUAACAAGGCACCAGCUUCUGGAAAACCAGACAGGGUUGUUAUUGAACACGUAAUUCCUAUUCAGAAAGUUUACAGUAAAGUGAUCGAAACAAUAUCCUCGAAAUAAAUACGCUGUUACAUAUUCUAGGCCAGCACAACUUUUUAUCCAAACGAAAAGGGAAAGAAGAAGCAUCACUUAUCAAUCAUGAUACAAGAAUAGCGCAACCAAGUCGACAGCGC
RNA transcript from Chrysoperla carnea, 577 nucleotides. RefSeq lists it as uncharacterized. The record is from RefSeq and is a predicted model, not a curated record. The transcript has 4 exons. NCBI's taxonomy places the organism in Eukaryota, Metazoa, Arthropoda, Insecta, Neuroptera, Chrysopidae.